This 495-nucleotide ribosomal RNA is filed under the name uncultured bacterium. Its description in RNAcentral is "bacterial SSU rRNA". It matches the Rfam family "Bacterial small subunit ribosomal RNA", at positions 8 to 500 of the family's 1533-position model. The record is from RNAcentral.
AGAGUUUGAUCCUGGCUCAGGAUUAACGCUAGCGGCAGGCCUAACACAUGCAAGUCGAGGGGCAGCAUUAGUACUUGUACUAGAUGGCGACCGGCGCACGGGUGCGUAACGCGUAUGCAACCUACCUACUACAGGGGGAUAGGUCCCGGAAACGGGAAUUAACACCGCAUACCACUAUAAUGACACAUGUUAUAAUAGUAAAAAUUCAGGUGGUAGUAGAUGGGCAUGCGUAUGAUUAGUUAGUUGGGGAGGUAACGGCUCACCAAGACAUCGAUCAUUAGCGGGUCUGAGAGGAUGAUCCGCCACACUGGUACUGAGACACGGACCAGACUCCUACGGGAGGCAGCAGUGAGGAAUAUUGGUCAAUGGGGGCAACCCUGAACCAGCCAUGCCGCGUGCAGGAAGACGGCCUUCUGGGUUGUAAACUGCUUUUAUACGGGAGCAAAACGUCCCUGCGGGGAAGAUUGAGAGUACCGUAUGAAUAAGCACCGCUAA